AGUGAACGCUGGCGGUAGGCCUAACACAUGCAAGUCGAACGGCAGCACAGUAAGAGCUUGCUCUUACGGGUGGCGAGUGGCGGACGGGUGAGGAAUACAUCGGAAUCUAUUUUUCGGUGGGGGAAAACGUAGGGAAAUUUACCUUAAUACGGCUUACGCCCAACGGGGGAAAGCGGGGAACCUUCGGCCCUUGGGCGAUUGAAUAGGCGCAUGUCGUAUUAGCUAGUUGGCGGGGUAAAGGCCCACCAAGGCGACGAUCCGUAGCUGGUCUGAGAGGAUGAUGAGCCACACUGGAACUGAGACACGGUCCAGACUCCUACGGGAGGCAGCAGUGGGGAAUAUUGGACAAUGGGCGCAAGCCUGAUCCAGCCAUACCGCGUGGGUGAAGAAGGCCUUCGGGUUGUAAAGCCCUUUUGUUGGGAAAGAAAAGCAGCAGGUUAAUACCCCGCUGUUCUGACGGUACCCAAAGAAUAAGCACCGGCUAACUUCGUG
RNAcentral lists this ribosomal RNA (492 nucleotides) under uncultured bacterium. RNAcentral describes it as "partial 16S ribosomal RNA". It matches the Rfam family "Bacterial small subunit ribosomal RNA", at positions 29 to 507 of the family's 1533-position model. The record is from RNAcentral.